GACGUAGGGUGCAAGCGUUGUCCGGAUUUACUGGGCGUAAAGAGCGCGUAGGCGGUCUGUUAAGUGUGAAGUGAAAUCUCCAGAGCUCAACUCGGAAACUGCUUCGCAUACUGGCAGACUUGAGGGACUGAGAGGUGAAUGGAAUUCCUGGUGUAGCGGUGAAAUGCGUAGAUAUCAGGAGGAACACCCAUGGCGAAGGCAGUUCACUGGCAGUCUCCUGACGCUGAGGCGCGAAAGCGUGGGUAGCAAACAGG
Molecule: ribosomal RNA, 254 nt
Filed under: uncultured bacterium
Lineage: Bacteria
Also listed under: 1 other name
Description: partial 16S ribosomal RNA
Rfam family: Bacterial small subunit ribosomal RNA
Source: RNAcentral